Molecule: ribosomal RNA, 253 nt
Filed under: uncultured bacterium
Lineage: Bacteria
Description: partial 16S ribosomal RNA
Rfam family: Bacterial small subunit ribosomal RNA
Source: RNAcentral
UACAGAGGGUGCAAACGUUGUUCGGAAUUACUGGGCGUAAAGCGCGUGUAGGCGGCUUUGCAAGUCGGAUGUGAAAGCCCUCGGCUCAACCGGGGAAGUGCACCCGAAACUGCAAAGCUAGAGUCUCGGAGAGGAUCGUGGAAUUCUCGGUGUAGAGGUGAAAUUCGUAGAUAUCGAGAGGAACACCAGUGGCGAAGGCGAGUCUCUGGACAUUUCCUGACGCUGAGGCACGAAGGCCAGGGGAGCAAACGGG